Molecule: long non-coding RNA, 594 nt
Filed under: Gossypium barbadense (sea-island cotton)
Lineage: Eukaryota; Viridiplantae; Streptophyta; Magnoliopsida; Malvales; Malvaceae
Description: long non-coding RNA (GBAR_LNC010415)
Source: RNAcentral
AAUUUUCCAGUUCGUAGUAAAUCCAUAUUCUCCUUGGUUCAUAAGGAAGUGUAGUAAAACAAAUGGAAUACUACUGUUGUGGCGACAAAUUUCUCUCUUACUUGUUAUGAAAUUCAUUUUUCUACCCCAUUAAUUAUUUGUUAUCUUAGAUUUCAAGUUCAUCAUGUUCCAUUCCUUCUGGUUAGUAUUUCUUAUCUCCAAACUUCCAUUUUGAAAAUCCUAUCUACUUAUAAAUCAUAGCCUCUUCGUAUAAGGAACUGGCUUCAUCUUACAAGCAUGUAUCUUUUUGUCUUGGACACAUUGGAGAAUUUUUUUUCAAGAGAAAGGGAAAGCGACAAAUAUGAGUUGACAAUUGGAAAAAGAAAAGAAAAGAAAAAGAAAACAUUGACAGGUUUGGAGAAAUUAGAGAUGUUGCUGAACACGACAACUUUAACUCUACUAAAGGCAAUUUUUUUUCAUUUCAUUUGCACCUGGGUAAUCUAAGAUAUUCUUAACCUGUAUUUUUUUUUUUUACUUGAGAGAAUUUCAGGAUUCUUCGCACUCCCUUUCAAUCAUUUCUAGUAUGUAUCGAGUAUUUUAUAAUGUUUUUUUUUU